Molecule: ribosomal RNA, 489 nt
Filed under: Triticum aestivum (bread wheat)
Lineage: Eukaryota; Viridiplantae; Streptophyta; Magnoliopsida; Poales; Poaceae
Description: partial small subunit ribosomal RNA
Source: RNAcentral
AUGACCGCGGGGAAACAGAACCGCCAGCGUAUAAUACAACCCCGGGGGGAACACCGGAGCAGAAACGCAGAACCCGAUAGCACAACGUGGAACACGCUGAUGAAGUCAAUGACUCCUUACACCAGCAAGCACCAACCACACCCUCGUGCAGAUGAGUUUGUCACUAACAACCAAGACACGGCUGUACCAGCAUGCCAGCGGCAAAGCAUGAAGAGGGACAAUAUUCAGUCCUACACGCCAUGGCUUGCCGUCUCAGAUCCGUGCCAGCCAUCCAGCCCCUGCUCCGAUGAAAGCAAUGUCGAAGACGAAGAACAGCUGCAGAUCCUGAAGGCCAACAUCUUGAGGAUCCUGAAAAUACAGCCUCCUGCAUUUGCCCAGCAGAUGUAUACUUUGUCAGGAAUCAGGAUUGGGUUCGCUUGCAUCUUGAGAGAAAUUAUGGUGAACAUGGAUGAGACUCUCUUGGAGUCUUGGUUGUUCUCCGCUUGUUAG